AAGGUUAAGCCUCACGGAUCAUUAGUACUGGUUAGCUCAAUACAUCGCUGCACUUACACACCCAGCCUAUCAACGUCAUAGUCUUUAACGUUCCUUCAGGGGGCUUAAAGCCCCAGGGAAGACUCAUCUCGAGGCAAGUUUCCCGCUUAGAUGCUUUCAGCGGUUAUCUCUUCCGAAUUUAGCUACCGGGCAAUGCCAUUGGCAUGACAACCCGAACACCAGUGAUUCGUCCACUCCGGUCCUCUCGUACUAGGAGCAGCCCCUCUCAAUCUUCCAACGCCCACGGCAGAUAGGGACCGAACUGUCUCACGACGUUCUAAACCCAGCUCGCGUACCACUUUAAAUGGCGAACAGCCAUACCCUUGGGACCUACUUCAGCCCCAGGAUGUGAUGAGCCGACAUCGAGGUGCCAAACACCGCCGUCGAUAUGAACUCUUGGGCGGUAUCAGCCUGUUAUCCCCGGAGUACCUUUUAUCCGUUGAGCGAUGGCCCUUCCAUUCAGAACCACCGGAUCACUAAGACCUACUUUCGUACCUGCUCGAGCCGUCACUCUCGCAGUCAAGCUAGCUUAUGCCUUUGCACUAACCUCACGAUGUCCGACCGUGAUUAGCUAACCUUCGUGCUCCUCCGUUACUCUUUGGGAGGAGACCGCCCCAGUCAAACUACCCACCAGACACUGUCCUCACCCCGGAU
This 693-nucleotide ribosomal RNA is filed under the name Yersinia intermedia ATCC 29909. Its description in RNAcentral is "partial 23S ribosomal RNA". Lineage: Bacteria; Pseudomonadati; Pseudomonadota; Gammaproteobacteria; Enterobacterales; Yersiniaceae. The record is from RNAcentral.